UGGGGAAUAUUGCACAAUGGGCGCAAGCCUGAUGCAGCCAUGCCGCGUGUGUGAAGAAGGCCUUCGGGUUGUAAAGCACUUUCAGCGAGGAGGAAGGUGGUGGACUUAAUACGUUCAUCAAUUGACGUUACUCGCAGAAGAAGCACCGGCUAACUCCGUGCCAGCAGCCGCGGCAAUACGGAGGGUGCAAGCGUUAAUCGGAAUUACUGGGCGUAAAGCGCACGCAGGCGGUUUGUUAAGUCAGAUGUGAAAUCCCCGGGCUCAACCUGGGAACUGCAUUUGAAACUGGCAAGCUAGAGUCUCGUAGAGGGGGGUAGAAUUCCAGGUGUAGCGGUGAAAUGCGUAGAGAUCUGGAGGAAUACCGGUGGCGAAGGCGGCCCCCCUGGACGAAGACUGACGCUCAGGUGCGAAAGCGUGGGGAGCAAACAGGAUUAGAUACCCUGGUAGUCCGCGCUGUAAACGAUGUCGAUUUGGAGGUUGUGCCCUUGAGGCGUGGCUUCCGGAGCUAACGCGUUAAAUCGACCGCCUGGGGAGUACGGCCGCAAGGUUAAAACUCAAAUGAA
Molecule: ribosomal RNA, 563 nt
Filed under: uncultured bacterium
Lineage: Bacteria
Description: partial 16S ribosomal RNA
Rfam family: Bacterial small subunit ribosomal RNA
Source: RNAcentral